This 394-nucleotide ribosomal RNA is filed under the name uncultured bacterium. Its description in RNAcentral is "bacterial SSU rRNA". It matches the Rfam family "Bacterial small subunit ribosomal RNA", at positions 64 to 455 of the family's 1533-position model. The record is from RNAcentral.
UUAUUGAAACUUCGGUCGAUUUAAUUUAAUUCUAGUGGCGGACGGGUGAGUAACGCGUGGGUAACCUGCCUUAUACAGGGGGAUAACAGUCAGAAAAAGCUGCUAAUUCCGCAUAAGCGCACAGAGCUGCAUGGCUCAGUGUGAAAAACUCCGGUGGUAUAAGAUGGACCCGCGUUGGAUUAGCUUGUUGGUGGGGUAACGGCCCCCCAAGGCGACGAUCCAUAGCCGGCCUGAGAGGGGGAACGGCCCCAUUGGGACUGAGACCCGGCCCAGACUCCUUCGGGAGGCGGCAGUGGGGAAUAUUGCACAAUGGGGGAAACCCUGAAGGAGCGACGCCGCGUGAAGGAAGAAGUAUCUCGGUAUGUAAACUUCUAUCAGCCGGGAAGAUAGUGAC